RNAcentral lists this transfer RNA (73 nucleotides) under Pelodiscus sinensis (Chinese soft-shelled turtle). It matches the Rfam family "tRNA". Rfam says of the family: Transfer RNA (tRNA) molecules are approximately 80 nucleotides in length. Their secondary structure includes four short double-helical elements and three loops (D, anti-codon, and T loops). The record is from Rfam by way of RNAcentral. Lineage: Eukaryota; Metazoa; Chordata; Testudines; Trionychidae.
GGGGAGUUAGCUGAAGUGGUAGAGCACUUUAUUUGCAUGCAAGAGAGAGUGGGAUCAAUACCCACAUUCUCCA